RNAcentral lists this transfer RNA (79 nucleotides) under marine eukaryotic metagenome. It matches the Rfam family "tRNA". From Rfam's summary of the family: Transfer RNA (tRNA) molecules are approximately 80 nucleotides in length. The record is from RNAcentral.
CGACAUGGCGGAAUUGGUAGACGCAACGGACUUAAAAUCCGUUGAUCUUUUGAUCGUGCGGGUUCGAUUCCCGCUGUCG